This 497-nucleotide ribosomal RNA is filed under the name uncultured bacterium. Its description in RNAcentral is "partial 16S ribosomal RNA". It matches the Rfam family "Bacterial small subunit ribosomal RNA", at positions 28 to 507 of the family's 1533-position model. The record is from RNAcentral.
GAUGAACGCUGGCGGCGUGCCUAAUACAUGCAAGUCGAGCGAACGGACGCGACUCUUGCUUUUCUGAUGUUAGCGGCGGACGGGUGAGUCACACGUGUAUCACCUACCUAUAAGACUGGGAUCACUUCGGGAAACCGGAGCUAAUCCCGUAUAAUAUUUUGCUCCGCAUGGUUCAAUAGUGAAAUACGGCCUUGCUGUCACUUAUCGAUGGUUCCCCGCUGCAUUAGCUAGUUGGUAAGGACACGGCUUAUCAAGGCGACGAUGCCUAGCCGACCGGAGAGGGUGAUCGGCGACACUGGAACUGAGACACGGUCCAGACUCCUACGGGAGGCAGCAGUAGGGAAUCGGCGGCAAUGGGCGAAAGCCUGACGGAGCAACGCCGCGUGAGUGAUGAAGGUCUUCGGAUCGUAAAACUCUGUUAUUAGGGAAGAACAGAUGUGGAAGUAACUGUGCACAUCUUGACGGUACCUAAUCAGAAAGCCACGGCUAACUACGUG